This 254-nucleotide ribosomal RNA is filed under the name uncultured bacterium. RNAcentral describes it as "partial 16S ribosomal RNA". It matches the Rfam family "Bacterial small subunit ribosomal RNA", at positions 524 to 776 of the family's 1533-position model. The record is from RNAcentral.
UACGUAGGGUCCGAGCGUUGUCCGGAUUUAUUGGGCGUAAAGAGCUCGUAGGCGGUUCCGUAAGUCAGAUGUGAAAACUCAGGGCUCAACCCGGAGGCGCCAUCUGAUACUGCGGUGACUGGAGUCUGGUAGGGGAACACGGAAUUCCUGGUGUAGCGGUGAAAUGCGCAGAUAUCAGGAGGAACACCGAUGGCGAAGGCAGUGUUCUGGGCCAGUACUGACGCUGAGGAGCGAAAGCGUGGGGAGCAAACAGG